This 433-nucleotide ribosomal RNA is filed under the name uncultured bacterium. RNAcentral's name for it is "partial 16S ribosomal RNA". It matches the Rfam family "Bacterial small subunit ribosomal RNA", at positions 29 to 507 of the family's 1533-position model. The record is from RNAcentral.
AACGAACGCUGGCGGCAUGCCUAACACAUGCAAGUCGAACGAGAUCUUCGGGUCUAGUGGCGCACGGGUGCGUAACGCGUGGGAACCUGCCCUUAGGUUCGGAAUAACUUCCCGAACGGGGUGCUAAUACCGGAUAAUGUCUUCGGACCAAAGAUUUAUCGUCUUUGGAUGGGCCCGCGUUGGAUUAGCUAGUUGGUAGGGUAAAAGCCUACCAAGGCGACGAUCCAUAGCUGGUCUGAGAGGAUGAUCAGCCACACUGGGACUGAGACACGGCCCAGACUCCUACGGGAGGCAGCAGGGGGGAAUAUGGGACGAUGGGCGAAAGCCUGAUCCAGCAGUGCCGCGUGAGUGAUGAAGGCCUGAGGGUUGUAAAGCUCUUUUACCCGGGAUGAUAAUGACAGUACCGGGAGAAUAAGCUCCGGCUAACUCCGUG